UAUUAGAGUCUAGUUCACUAGCCCUUAAAACAUACUAAAAAGAACAAAAGUUUGAACUUUGUAUUAAGAUUUGAGACUAAACCAUAAAAAAAAGAAGGGUACAAGUAAGUAGUCGCAUGACCCUACCCCGUUGACGAUAAAUGUAAAAGGAAACAAAGACUAAUAACCAAAUCACAAACAGUUAAAAUAAAAAAUAGAGAGCCCGUUUGGACUUGAGAGGAAGUGUUGGAAAUUAAGAAGUCCCAGAAAGGUAGGAACAUGGAAAACUAAGGUGUUUAUAAGUGAUGGAGAGUUUGAGUCCAUCGGUAUGAAGUUUUGGACCGUUGGACCUCCUGCACUUAAGAACACCAACUAGCGUACUAAAUUACCUCACUCCAUUGGGUAUGUAUGUGCAAUAAUUCAUCAGAUGGACAAUCCUAGAAGGAAAAUGCCAACUACUACUACCGGUGCAUGAAAAAGGCCCUAUCAGAGCAAUCAGAAAUUUGCAUCAAGGAGGAGUGUUGGAGAUGUGAUGCAAAUUUGUAAAGAAAAUAGGCUAAACACUUAUCUAGAAUGUGGCAAAUGUACUACUGAUAAUCAAAUCAAAUUUAAAAAUGUUAUGAAAAUCCUACAAACAUGUAUUUCUAGAACAAUCUCCAAAACCUAUAAAUGAGCAACAUUGAAAUGAAAGUGAGUAUGAAUUUGUUGAGUAGCUAAAAGAGAGAGAGAUAUAUAUAUAUAUAUACCUUGAAUUGUUAUUAU
Molecule: long non-coding RNA, 741 nt
Filed under: Trifolium pratense (red clover)
Lineage: Eukaryota; Viridiplantae; Streptophyta; Magnoliopsida; Fabales; Fabaceae
Description: long non-coding RNA (TPRA_LNC009217)
Source: RNAcentral